Molecule: ribosomal RNA, 429 nt
Filed under: Pseudomonadota bacterium
Lineage: Bacteria; Pseudomonadati; Pseudomonadota
Description: Proteobacteria bacterium partial 16S ribosomal RNA
Rfam family: Bacterial small subunit ribosomal RNA
Source: RNAcentral
UGGGGAAUAUUGGACAAUGGGCGAAAGCCUGAUCCAGCCAUGCCGCGUGUGUGAAGAAGGUCUUCGGAUUGUAAAGCACUUUAAGUUGGGAGGAAGGGCAGUAAGCGAAUACCUUGCUGUUUUGACGUUACCGACAGAAUAAGCACCGGCUAACUCUGUGCCAGCAGCCGCGGUAAUACAGAGGGUGCAAGCGUUAAUCGGAAUUACUGGGCGUAAAGCGCGCGUAGGUGGUUCGUUAAGUUGAUUGUGAAAGCCCCGGGCUCAACCUGGGAACUGCAUCCAAAACUGGCGAGCUAGAGUAGGGCAGAGGGUGGUGGAAUUUCCUGUGUAGCGGUGAAAUGCGUAGAUAUAGGAAGGAACACCAGUGGCGAAGGCGACCACCUGGGCUCAUACUGACACUGAGGUGCGAAAGCGUGGGGAGCAAACAGG